RNAcentral lists this ribosomal RNA (320 nucleotides) under uncultured eukaryote. Its description in RNAcentral is "partial 18S ribosomal RNA". It matches the Rfam family "Eukaryotic small subunit ribosomal RNA", at positions 1470 to 1796 of the family's 1831-position model. The record is from RNAcentral.
CCCCUAGAUGUUCUGGGCCGCACGCGCCCUACACUGAACAGUUCAACAAGUCUUAACCUUGGCCGAUAGGUCUGGGUAAUCUUUGAACGCUGUUCGUGAUUGGGAUAGACCUUUGCAAUUAUGGGUCUUCAACGAGGAAUUCCUAGUAAACGCAAGUCAUCAGCUUGCAUUGAUUACGUCCCUGCCCUUUGUACACACCGCCCGUCGCACCUACCGAUUGAAUGGUCCGGUGAAAUCUCGGGACGGCGGCUUGGUCGCUUGCGUCCGACUGCUGAAACUUGAUUAAACCAUAUCAUUUAGAGGAAGGUGAAGUCGUAACA